GUAAUUGCAUAGUUCGGAAGUUGGCAAAGACACAGUUAACGGUUAAUCGCCGACGCCGUCAUUAAUUAGCCAUAAAAUUCAUUUUGACAACAAUUAGCCAGCCACAUGCCAAACUCGGACUUCUGACAACGGUCUUGGCCAGUCCGGUCGAGUAAUUAGCUCUCGGGCAAACAAAAUAAGGCGAAUCUGACACCAAACGAACACAAAACAAACAAACAAACAGACAGACAGAGAGAGCAAUAGAGACCUCAGCUCAGCAUUUAUUUGCCAAUUUCUGACAGUCGUACGGAAAACAAAAAGCUAACCCAGC
Molecule: non-coding RNA, 310 nt
Organism: Drosophila melanogaster (fruit fly)
Lineage: Eukaryota; Metazoa; Arthropoda; Insecta; Diptera; Drosophilidae
Source: Ensembl